This 301-nucleotide ribosomal RNA is filed under the name uncultured bacterium. Its description in RNAcentral is "partial 16S ribosomal RNA". It matches the Rfam family "Bacterial small subunit ribosomal RNA", at positions 509 to 809 of the family's 1533-position model. The record is from RNAcentral.
CAGUCGCCACGGUAAAACGAAGGGUGCAAGCGUUACUCGGAAUUACUGGGCGUAAAGCGUGCGUAGGUGGUGGUUUAAGUCCGUUGUGAAAGCCCUGGGCUCAACCUGGGAAUUGCAGUGGAUACUGGGUCACUAGAGUGUGGUAGAGGAUAGUGGAAUUUCCGGUGUAGCAGUGAAAUGCGUAGAGAUCGGAAGGAACAUCUGUGGCGAAGGCGACUAUCUGGGCCAACACUGACACUGAGGCACGAAAGCGUGGGGAGCAAACAGGAUUAGAUACCCCAGUAGUCCCUGUCUCUUAUAA